AUGCAUUGGUAUACAUGGUGGAAACUUUGCUACCCCGAAUGUGAGGGUGGUAUGGGGUUUCGUGAUCUGUACUCUUUCAAUCUGGCUAUGCUAUCUAAACAGAUUUUGAGAUUGAUAACCAACCCAGACUCUUUGUGUGCGAGAGUGUUGAAGGCAAAAUACUUUCCAAAUAAUUCGUUGCUUCAAGCCACCUUAAAGAAUGGAGCAUCGUUUACCUGGCAGAGCAUCAUGAAAGGUCUGGAAACUUUCAAACUGGGUUACAUUUGGCGAAUUGGUACAGGCGAGAAUGUGCAAAUUUGGUCUGAUCCGUGGAUCCCGCUGAGUCCGGACAGGCGAGUUGUGUCGCCGAGGGGGCAAACUCUGUUGGCUAAGGUAAAUGACCUCAUUGAUCCAAUGACGUGGAAGUGGGAUGAGGGGUUAAUUCGAUCAAUAUUCAAUCAUGUGGACACCACUAGAAUUCUCCAAAUCCCACUCAACUAUGGUGCAUUUGAUGACUUUAUAGCUUGGCACCCGGAACAGCAAGGGUUUUUUUCUGUUAAAUCAGCAUGUCGGGUACAGUGGAUUCAUACUUUUCAGAACCAUGCAAACAUAAUGGGUCACCCAGGAGGGUCUGCAGCACCGGCAGUAUGGAGAAUGCUAUGGAAGCAAAAAGUCCCUCGUAAAAUUCAGAUUUUUGGAUGGAUGGCAUUACAUGGAAUGAUCCCUUUAAAGUCGAUUCUCGUUAACAGACAUGUGGGAGGGAAUGGAGCUUGUCCUAUUUGCCAUCAAGCAGCAGAAGAUAUCUGCCAUCUCUUGUUUGAAUGUGUCAAUGCAAGAGAACUCUGGGAGCGACUCGGCAUGACUAGCAUUAUUCAGGAUGCUUUGUGGAUCGAUCGAUCGGGAUCGGUAGUCCUGGAGCACUUACUCCUUCAGCCAGAGAUGAUGCUUGCGAUCAAAACGAACCUAUCGGUGAAGCAAGUCCUUUUGGUGGCAUGCUGGUACUUGUGGUGGAUACGAAGUGAAUUGACACAUGAUGGAAAGCCACCACCUGCUACGUGA
RNAcentral lists this ribosomal RNA (1038 nucleotides) under Triticum aestivum (bread wheat). Its description in RNAcentral is "partial small subunit ribosomal RNA". Lineage: Eukaryota; Viridiplantae; Streptophyta; Magnoliopsida; Poales; Poaceae. The record is from RNAcentral.